This 270-nucleotide ribosomal RNA is filed under the name uncultured archaeon. Its description in RNAcentral is "partial 16S ribosomal RNA". It matches the Rfam family "Archaeal small subunit ribosomal RNA", at positions 477 to 747 of the family's 1478-position model. The record is from RNAcentral.
CAGCACCUCAAGUGGUCAGGAUGAUUAUUGGGCCUAAAGCAUCCGUAGCUUGCUUUGUAAGUUCUCGGUUAAAUCCAUGCGCUUAACGUAUGGGCUGCCGGCAAUACUGCAAAGCUAGGGAGUGGGAGAGGUAGACGGUACUCGGUAGGAAGGGGUAAAAUCCUUUGAUCUAUUGAUGACCACCUGUGGCGAAGGCGGUCUACCAGAACACGUCCGACGGUGAGGGAUGAAAGCUGGGGGAGCAAACCGGAUUAGAUACCCGAGUAGUCC